RNAcentral lists this ribosomal RNA (253 nucleotides) under uncultured bacterium. RNAcentral describes it as "partial 16S ribosomal RNA". It matches the Rfam family "Bacterial small subunit ribosomal RNA", at positions 524 to 776 of the family's 1533-position model. The record is from RNAcentral.
UACAGAGGGUGCGAGCGUUGUUCGGAAUUAUUGGGCGUAAAGGGCGCGUAGGCGGUGCGGUAAGUCACCUGUGAAAUCUCCUGGCUCAACUGGGAGCUUGCAGGCGAAACUGCCGUGCUGGAGUGUGGGAGAGGUGAGUGGAAUUCCCGGUGUAGCGGUGAAAUGCGUAGAUAUCGGGAGAAGCACCUGUGGCGAAAGCGGCUCACUGGACCACAACUGACGCUGAGGCGCGAAAGCUAGGGGAGCAAACAGG